RNAcentral lists this long non-coding RNA (486 nucleotides) under Ananas comosus (pineapple). RNAcentral's name for it is "long non-coding RNA (ACOM_LNC010825)". Lineage: Eukaryota; Viridiplantae; Streptophyta; Magnoliopsida; Poales; Bromeliaceae. The record is from RNAcentral.
AACUUCAAAAAACCCCCUGUGGUUUUGCAUUUUUCAUUUUAGUACCCUAUGGUUAAAAGUGUAUCAAGUUAGUAUCCUGUUGUUUCUCACUUUAUCACUUUAGUACCCUAUGGUUUAAAGUGUAUCAAAUUGAUACUCUGUGGUUUUAUUUUUGUAUCAAGUUAGUACUUGUUGUUUUAUUUUUGUAUCAAGUUAGUACCCUAUAAUUUUUAAACCACAUGAUACUAAAAUAAUAAAGCGCGAAACCACAGAGUACUAAAAUGAUAAAGUGCGAAAUCAUAGGGUACUAACUUAAUACACUUUAAACCACAAGGUACUAAAGUGAAAAAGUGCAAAAUCACAAAGUACUAACUUGAUACACUUUAAACCAUAGGGUACUAAAGUGAGAAAAAGUGAAACCACGAGGGAGGUAUUUGAAAAUUUAUAAGAAGAAAUUUGUAAUUUUGAAAUGUUUAUUUUUUAUUGUAUUUUUUAGAAAAUUGAGUA